RNAcentral lists this ribosomal RNA (441 nucleotides) under uncultured soil bacterium. RNAcentral describes it as "bacterial SSU rRNA". It matches the Rfam family "Bacterial small subunit ribosomal RNA", at positions 26 to 462 of the family's 1533-position model. The record is from RNAcentral.
AGAUUGAACGCUGGCGGCAUGCUUUACACAUGCAAGUCGUGCGGCAGCGCGGGGGCAACCCUGGCGGCGAGCGGCGAACGGGUGAGGAAUACAUCGGAACGUACCCCGGAGUGGGGGAUAACCCAGCGAAAGUUGGACUAAUACCGCAUAUGCUCUGAGGAGGAAAGCAGGGGACUUCGCAAGAGGCCUUGCGCUCUGGGAGCGGCCGAUGUCCGAUUAGCUAGUUGGUGGGGUAAUGGCUCACCAAGGCGACGAUCGGUAGCUGGUCUGAGAGGAUGAUCAGCCACACUGGGACUGAGACACGGCCAGACUACCGUACGGGAGGCAGCAGUGGGAAUUUUGGACAAUGGGGGCAACCGUGAUCCAGCCGUGCCGCGUAGGCGGGAAGAACGGCCGUUCGGUUGUAGCCGCGUUUAGGUCGGGAAGAAGGCGAGGCGUUAG